This 253-nucleotide ribosomal RNA is filed under the name uncultured bacterium. Its description in RNAcentral is "partial 16S ribosomal RNA". It matches the Rfam family "Bacterial small subunit ribosomal RNA", at positions 524 to 776 of the family's 1533-position model. The record is from RNAcentral.
UACGGAGGGUGCAAGCGUUAUCCGGAAUCACUGGGCAUAAAGCGCACGUAGGCGGUCUGUUAAGUCAGAUGUGAAAGCCCCCGGCUCAACCGGGGAACAGCAUUCGAUACUGGCAGACUCGAGGAUGGUAGGGGUGAGUGGAACUCCAGGUGGAGCGGUGAAAUGCGUAGAUAUCUGGAGGAACACCGGUGGCGAAAGCGGCUCACUGGACCAUUACUGACGCUGAGGUGCGAAAGCUAGGGUAGCAAACGGG